Molecule: non-coding RNA, 361 nt
Organism: Coffea arabica (coffee)
Lineage: Eukaryota; Viridiplantae; Streptophyta; Magnoliopsida; Gentianales; Rubiaceae
Source: RefSeq, a predicted model, not a curated record
GAGUACCUAGGGAUGUCAAAACAGAAGUUGUCGAAGUUGCAGCAUCUGGUCAAGAGAUAUCCACUCGUCCGUUUCAGCUUGUGAUUGGUCGUGUAUGGAAGGGAACAGCAUUUGGUGGUUUCAAAAGUCGUUCCCAAGUACCUUGGCUUGUAGACAAGUAUAUGAAGAAGGAGAUCAAAGUAGACGAGUACGUCACCCACAAUUUGACGCUUAAGGAGAUAAGCAAAGCUUUUGAUCUGAUGCAUGAAGGUGACUGCUUGCGCGUUGUGCUUAGUGUGUUCGAGUGAAUGAAACAACUUUGGUUGUUUUGGGUUGUCAGUUUAAUAACAUUUGAAGCUCUGAACUUUGAUACCCUCUGUCA